RNAcentral lists this ribosomal RNA (326 nucleotides) under uncultured eukaryote. RNAcentral's name for it is "partial 18S ribosomal RNA". It matches the Rfam family "Eukaryotic small subunit ribosomal RNA", at positions 1470 to 1796 of the family's 1831-position model. The record is from RNAcentral.
CCCUUAGAUGUUCUGGGCCGCACGCGCGCUACACUGACGAAGUCAGCGAGCAUCUCCUUCGCCGAAAGGUGCGGGGAAUCUUGUGAAACUUUGUCGUGCUGGGGAUUGAUUUUUGAAAUUCUUGAUCAUCAACGAGGAAUGCCUAGUAGGCGCAAGUCAUCAGCUUGCGUCGAUUACGUCCCUGCCCUUUGUACACACCGCCCGUCGCUCCUACCGAUUGGGUGUGCUGGUGAAAUGUUCGGAUCGGCCGUUUGUCGCGGUUUCCGCGGCUCGUGGCUGAGAAGUUCAUUAAACCCUCCCACCUAGAGGAAGGAGAAGUCGUAACA